UACGGAAUGUGCAAACGUUAUUCGGAAUCACUGGGCUUAAAGAGUCCGUAGGCGGCAUGUUAGGGGAGGUGUGAAAUCCCCCGGCUCAACCGAGGAAUUGCGCUUCAAACCGGCGUGCUAGAGGAAGAUAGAGGUGGGCGGAACUGAUGGUGGAGCGGUGAAAUGCGUUGAUAUCAUCAGGAACACCGGAGGCGAAGGCGGCCCACUGGGUCUUUUCUGACGCUGAGGGACGAAAGCUAGGGGAGCGAACGGG
Molecule: ribosomal RNA, 253 nt
Filed under: uncultured bacterium
Lineage: Bacteria
Description: partial 16S ribosomal RNA
Rfam family: Bacterial small subunit ribosomal RNA
Source: RNAcentral